RNAcentral lists this long non-coding RNA (678 nucleotides) under Anas platyrhynchos platyrhynchos (common mallard). RNAcentral's name for it is "lncRNA (ENSAPLG00000029687.1)". The record is from RNAcentral. Lineage: Eukaryota; Metazoa; Chordata; Aves; Anseriformes; Anatidae.
UCCUUACUGGGGAUUUUAUUUUAUUUUAUUUUUUAAGAAAAGCAGGAUUAUUUCUCUGAUGAGAACUACUUUUUGCCUACAGGUCAGAUGAACAGCACAACACACAGCUCUGAACAAUAUCUGAGGCAACUUCAGUGAAGCAUGAUUGGCAGGAAUUAUUUAAUUGGAUAACAACAAGAAGAGAAGAAGAGCAAGAGCUAAGCAAUGUUUUACUUUCAUGGUGCCAAACUGUGGAGUGCAGAAGUCCUUGAGAAACCCUGCCACUGCAAGUCAAACCACAUACUGUUCUGGGACAGAACACAAUGCUUGCCUCUCUUUGGGAGCACUGAUAGAUUACCAAGAGGAUACCCGUUCAAUUCUGAAGAUAGCAUUUAUUAGAGUAGAAUUCCAUUGAUAUUUAUUUCACUUUAAAUUACCUUAGGAACUUAUCCUCCAGCUGCUUCUUUCCACCAAGACGCAACACUAUCUCUUUGACUGUACCGACAAAAAAAAGAAAAAGAAAAAGAAAAAGAAAAAGAAAAAGAAAAAGAAAAAGAAAAAGAAAAGNNNNNNNNNNGAAAAAGAAAAAGAAAAAGAAAAAGAAAAAGAAAAAGAAAAAGAAAAAGAAAAAGCUGGUGAUGCUAUACAGUACAGUAUAACAUUAAAACUUAAAAAAAAUAAAAAUAAAAAAAAAAUCCA